Non-coding RNA from Rhopilema esculentum, 4514 nucleotides. The record is from RefSeq and is a predicted model, not a curated record. NCBI's taxonomy places the organism in Eukaryota, Metazoa, Cnidaria, Scyphozoa, Rhizostomeae, Rhizostomatidae.
AUCGCGCUGUGUUAGCAGUUCGAGGCACAGAAUAGAGAUAUUCUGUGUGGGAACAUUGGUGCUAGGGCAGGUUUGGGCUGAGAACGCUGUGAUCCUGUUCCAAGAUGAAGGCCGUGUUGCUGUUUUGUGUCCUUCUUGGACUCGUCAUUUCAACCAACGGUGCAACUGUCGAGGAAAACAACGACAAGGUGGCGGAGAAGAGUGUUCCGGAAGAGGUUGAUGUAGAGGAAGAUUCUGCAAGUGAAGAAGAGGAAGACCCAGAAGCUGAAGAGCCCUCUGAAGACGAGGAAAGUGAUGCUACAGAACCGGAAGAGGACACUGAAUUAUCUGAAGACAAUUCUGAGCAAAUAGCAAAAGACGGCUCUGUAUCAGAUCCUUCAUGGCGCAGACGUUCCUGGCGCAGACGUUCUUGGCGCAGACGUUCCUGGCGCAGACGAUCCUGGCGCAGACGUUCUUGGCGCAGACGGUCCUGGCGCAGACGGUCCUGGCGCAGACGGUCCUGGCGCAGACGUAGCGGAAAAUAAGCAAGGAACUGGUUGAGAAACUUUUUUGCUCCCUAAUUAUGUUUUGCAUUUUUAAUUUUUGCAUAUUUGAAGCUGUUGACCAAGGUCAAUAGAGAAAGAUAUUGUGUUGUUUGUUUUGUUCUCCUACUUUCUGAAAGGGUCUGCCAUCUAUUUAACUCUGGACAUAUGAGAAAGAGUUUGCGGAAAGUUGCGAUAAAUGUCGUUAGUUAAUCAUAAAUCUAUAAACCAGAAAAGAAUAACAGUAUCCGUUAGCAAAGUUGAAAUCUUUCAUUGACCGUAUAUCACCCGAUUUUGAACACAUCUAGCUGAUUUUGUAUAGUUAAAAGUAUUUUAUGUCGUUUUUCUGAUUUUGUGGUCAAAACUAGAAAAUUCUAAAAAUAGAUUUUUGAUGACGCCACACCAGUAUUCUAUUGUGAGUGAUAUUUUCGACUUUUCAGGUAUCUAAAAAUUUCGAAUCGGAUACAAUUUGUAUAAAAAUCAAAGGUGAAAAUGCCAUUUAUACAAGGAACUCAGUAAAUUCACUGCGUUUGUAAAAGCGGUUCAAAGCGGCUCGAUUGCCUUCGCUUCUCGGAGCCAGGCCCUGCCCCAUCUAGCCACCAUUGUGAAAAGAGAGUUUUGCUUACACUGCUUUACUUGUUGGUUUUGGCUCAAUGUAUAUAUUAUAAUCUAAAGGUUUAUCUAUAUGAAAAAUUAGGUCUGAUUUAGAUAUUUUAUAAAACGAAAAAUAAGGGGAGAUGGCCCUCUGGAUUCCUCUUUGGCGCAGGCCUUUAGAGAAACCCUUCCGCGUUCGAGCAUGUUUGAAAAAAUGACGCAGUAUGCAUUCCAUCAGACUCCAAAUGGAAGAAGGAAUGCCAAAGACCAAGAAAAUUUGGUACUCACUACGCCCUACAAACAGAGUUGCAGAACAAGGGUCGAAAAUCAGACAAUUUUCUACUGCUUCUGGAGACAUUUUUGCAAUCCCUUCCUUCACCCCCCCCCCCCCCCCCCCCCUUGGAUUUUUAAUUGCAAGAGACCCCGGACACAAGACUACUGAAAACGUGAGAUAGUCUGCUUUAUAAAAUUUUCCGUUCAUUGCAAAGGACGGCUAUCAGUAUAUCCCUUGCCUUAAGUCGGCAACAGCAAAAUAACGCGAUUUGAUCUGCCAUUGUUUUAUGGUGCAAGGUUUGAGAUGGGUUUCGAAAUGUGGUGGAUUAGGGGAGGGGGGUUGAUUUCCGCCUUUAUAUAGAACAUAGAGGUUUUUCAUGUAUGCAUAAGUCGAUAUAUAAAGGUAAAAUUGACAAAGCAAGUCAAAUCAAGUCAAGUCAAGUCAAGUCGAGUCGAGUCAAAGAGUGAUCCAUUCGACAAAAUGAAUGGUGAAUUGUGACGUAAUGUUAGCAAAGGAAGGUAAGGAUGUACACCUUUGUAAAUUUCUCCCCACCCUACAAACUCUUAGUUGUGUUCUCCAAAAGUCUGUUCUUCAAAAAAAAGCUACCAUGAAAGUCUCAAAGGAAAAAAUCCCAGGGGGCUCGAGCACCCAAGUUCGUGUGUAGUUGGUCUAGCUCUUAUGCUUUCAAGGAAAACAAAGAUAAGUUCGAAAAAUAUUUACCUUUGUUUUGCUAAACUUGUACUUUGGGGCAGCUAAACGAGCUCAAAACAUGCAUACAACUCAACUAACAGUCAAGGGGCAAAUUAGGGGAGUGUAGGGGUAACAAAUAAUGGAAAGAGUCGGUCCUAGCCAAUAAGUGGAGGAUUCCAGUUACUCAUAAGGCUAGAAAGUGCGUUUCUAACAUAUCUUUGAAUGCAUCAUGUCAUUUGAUACAAAAUGAAGUAAAUAUUCCAUCGAACUUUAAAGAAAUAUUAUUAAAGGCCAAACAAAACGCAACUGUUAAGAAAAUUAGGCCCGACCCAACUUUCUUGUCAAGAUCAAUGUAUGCCUCUUGAAAAAGAAGCCUGAAGUAUCUACGCGUUAGAAACAUGAAGUCAAUGUUUUGAGUUCAAAGUCAUCUGUUUAAUUUAUCCUCUAUGAAAAAACCUAAUAAGAGCUGGUUUCAUUAUGUUUUAGCUUUGAAUGCACUUUUUAGCGUUUUUUCUUGUUAUCUUGUGCACUUAAAACUGUACGUUCGUGGAAGUGACUUGAGAUACAACAUAUGGACUAAUCUAGGAUGAAGCAAUCAAACAACCGAAUUGUCUGUUAAUUAGGUCUCUGAAGGCCAGCAGAGCCAAAGAGACUCAUCGAAAAUCACAAUUUUCCCUGGAAGGGGAGCAUGAGUCCGGACACCCUAAACAUAGACUGUCCCCCGAUACCCUAAACACAGUCUGUGUGCACUAUAAGUGCUGUGUUCUCCACUCUAAAGAAUUUAACUGUUAGUUUCCUGACAAUCCUCUAAACAAUUGAUUAAUUUUUUCGCCCCUGGGAACAGUACAAAUGUUUUGUCUGGAUAAUACAGUACUGAAAGGGCACAAAGACGUGCCCUUGAAGUGAGACUGUUCUAGGGGGUAUGGGGGCGUGCGCCCCAAUAAAGUUUUGAAUUUUAUGGUGUCUUCUUUGUCUCUGCUGACCUCCUAGAGACCUAAUAAUAAAAAAAGUCGGUCGUAUCAAACUUGUUUGAGUUUUCGGUGCCCUAUACAAGCUUUGGCGCCCCUAAAAAAAGUCAGCUGGGGGCCUUCAGAGACCCCCGGCCCCCCCUGCCAGGCCGCCACUGGUAGGUGAGACAAGAGAUCACCUGAAGACAGUGAAAAUAUCAAUGUUUUGGACUAAAAUAUCUUUUAUUAUUUUGAUUUAUACUUCUGUAGAAAGAUUUAGAAAGUAAAAUUGCAAAUGUAAUGAACUUUAAAAUUGAGAAAACGCUACGAAACGAGCUAAUUUUAUGGCAACUUGAAUAUGGUACUUCUAAGUCCCAUCCCCUCGAAUUUCUCGAAUUAAACCUAAUCUAAUUCUAAUGAGUGUCUAGAUUAGUAUGCCUCAGGGGGCCUAAUUCAAGGAUUUACAGGAUUUUGGGUCAGAACAUUAUGAUAAAAAUGAUUUCGAACAAAGUAAUCCAUGUGCUCGGAGAAGCCCAGUGGUGAAGCCCAGUAUGCUUGGGCACAAAGUUAGUUAUCCAUAAUCUCUAUCUACGAAGUUCCUUAUUUUUAAUUUGUUGUUUGUUCUCAGAGUGUUGUGGUGUUCCUUAUCUCAUUCAAAGAGAUCCCUCCCUGCGGUAAAUAGUUUGCCAACAUCUCUGCUAGGCAACAUCUCAAGGGCGUGGAACACAACAGUGAUUGGUUGUGACAGCAGAAAGGGCAGUCUAUUGGUCAAAAAGUAUCUAUGCCAACCGGAAGUCGAGAUUUGAGGGUAUAAAUGAACAGAAUCGCGCUGUGUUAGCAGUUCGAGGCACAGAAUAGAGAUAUUCUGUGUGGGGAGAGUGGAGCUAGAGAAGGUUUGGGCUGAGAACGCUGUGAUCCUGUUCCAAGAUGAAGGCCGUGUUGCUGUUUUGUGUCCUUCUUGGACUCGUCAUUUCAACCAACGGUGCAACUGUCGAGGAAAACACCAACGAGGUGGCGGAGAAGAGUGUUCCGGAAGAGGUUGAUGUAGGGGAAGAUUCUGCAAGCGAAGAAGAGGAAGACCCAGAAGCUGAAGAGCCCUCUGAAGACGAGGAAAGUGAUGCUACAGAACCGGAAGAGGACAAUGAUUCUACAGAACCGGAAGAGGACACUGAAUUAUCUGAAGACAAUUCUGAGCAAAUAGCAAAAGACGGCUCUGUAUCAGAUCCUUCAUGGCGCAGACGUUCCUGGCGCAGACGUUCUUGGCGCAGACGUUCCUGGCGCAGACGAUCCUGGCGCAGACGUUCUUGGCGCAGACGGUCCUGGCGCAGACGGUCCUGGCGCAGACGGUCCUGGCGCAGACGGUCCUGGCGCAGACGUAGCGGAAAAUAAGCAAAGAACUGGUUGAGAAACUUUUUUGCUCCCUAAUUAUGUUUUGCAUUUUUAAUUUUUGCAUAUUUGAAGCUGUUGACCAAGGUCAAUAGAGAAAGA